Sycon ciliatum is the source of this 2154-nucleotide long non-coding RNA. RefSeq lists it as uncharacterized. NCBI's taxonomy places the organism in Eukaryota, Metazoa, Porifera, Calcarea, Leucosolenida, Sycettidae. The record is from RefSeq and is a predicted model, not a curated record. The transcript has 2 exons.
CGCUAGCGCUGUUUCUAUCAUCUAGCCUGUGACUGUGAGGAAAACAUUUUGAACCAGAGGGGCAGAGAGCCUAGCCUACAACUAAGUACAAGCAAAACUACUAUUAGUUACCGGUGCAUGUAGUUAGUUGUUGCUGGGUAUGUUCACAAUUUCCCCAGAAUUUUGUAUUCUUGUAGGAUACUUGCUUUUUCAGAACCCGGGGAGACAAUGCGGUGCGACUAGCUGGCUGCUAGGCGGUAGAGUUCUUUCAUUCAGUCAUGUCCUUACGAGAAAUGUGAAGAACAUUUCCAAGUUUGAAAACUCGAAGACGUGAAUUCAAAGGCGAAAUGAACGCGAUAGCCUCGUAGUCUUUGCAGCACCGAAAGUACUAGGGACCUGGUUUGCAUCAGCCCCCGGCCCCUUGCUUUCAACACGACAGUAGCAUUGAUACUCGCCAUCGCAACCAUGAGACUCCAGAAUGGAGUGUGAUGGUCCGCAGCUGAAACCCAAUGUUACCAGCGAUGUUGCCAGUGAUGUCGCCAGUGAUGUCGUCGAGACCCUAGCUCUACGUCACCUAGUAACCAGAGUCUGAUAUUCAACGCGCCACUUUGCCCUGCUUUGGACUCGAUCAGCGCAUGCAUCUUUGCAGGAGAUUCCAUCUGGUGAUGCACCCAACAGCCAUUCACUGCUAUUCCGGAUCCGAACUGAUGCGUGACCGCUAUUCCUCCUGUGCGCGCAUAACCCAUUAAACAUCCUCUACCCAUGCAGUCGAAACAUAUGGAGUAGAACCACUCGGCUGUGCGCGCUUACCUGAUCAGUGAUGUCAUAAGUCUAUUGGACGCCCAUGCAUGUAUGAUCGAUGACGUCAUCAGUCUAUUUGACAUACGUGCAUGCAUGAUUAAUGACGUCAUCAGUCUACUUGGCCCUGAAGGCAUGUCUGAUUGGCGACAUCAUCCUGUUAGCACACUUCAAGAUGAAAUUGUCUCUAUGGAACUAUGAUAUGAGCCAAGCCAAGCCAAGCCAAGCCACUGAUACAAGCUCCAAUCUGACCACUGUGGUACAGCUAUGGCUGCUGGCAAGGUUGGUGUGCCUCAACAGCAAGAACAGCACCGUCGUGGACUGGUCUCACCUGGGAUAGGACGUACAGAAUCCUCAUCCUCAUCGUCAUCCUGAAGAAUUGCCCUGCGUUGUUACCAGGACCCAUGCUGAUGUCGAGAGACUUUACUGGAUCUGACAAUCAGUGCGGGCCAGGAUGGGAUAAGUGCUUGUAUAAUUGCAGCUAUGUACUGUCGUGGACAUGGAAAUCCAGUCGAAUGACCAGGGUCCGCGCCCUCGGUGCGUACAGAACGCCGGAAGCAGUGCUGAUGUUGAUCCGAUCCGACCAGCGCGCUGCAGCGCAUAAAUGAAUGUGUGUAGAUCAACCGUAUGCUUACUCACGGCUGCAUGCCCAGCGCCCUGGGGCCGCCAUUGUGUGCUCUGCUAUUCUAUGCUCUGCCAUUCUACGCUCUGCCAUUCAACGCUCUGCCUUCAAUGCUCUGCCAUUCAAUGCUCUCCCAUUCAAUGCUCUGCCGUUCGAUGCUCUGCCGUUCUAUGCUCUGCCAUUCGAUGCUCUGCCAUUCGAUGCUCUGCCAUUCGAUGCUCUGCCAUUCGAUGCUCUGCCAUUCGAUGCUCUGCCAUGCGAUGCUCUGCCAUUCGAUGCUCUGCCAUUCGAUGCUAUGCCAUUCGAUGCUCUGCCAUUCAAUGCUCUGCCUCUGCCAUUCAAUGCUCUGCCGUUCUAUGCUCUGCCGUUCUAUGCUCUGCCAUUCUAUGCUCUGCCAUUCUAUGCUUUGCCACUCUAUGCUCUGCCAUUCUAUGCUCUGCCAUUCAAUGCUCUGCCUCUGCCAUUCAAUGCUCUGCCAUUCACUGCUCUGCCGUUCUAUGCUCUGCCUUUCCAUGCUCUGCCUUUCUAUGCUCUGCCAUUCUAUGCUGUGCCAUUCUAUGCUGUGCCAUUCCUUGCUGUGCCAUUCGGUGCUCUGCCAUUCGAUGGUCUGCCAUUCGGUGCUCUGCCAUUCUACAUGAUAUUCUGACACCGGGUGUACAUUCAAUACUAUCUCCAAGUGGUACUUGGACUUAUUUCGAAGUGGUGUCGAUGCUCCGUUAUUGUAGAGCUUGGUGUCUUUGAGGCAUCAACACUGA